Molecule: ribosomal RNA, 392 nt
Filed under: uncultured bacterium
Lineage: Bacteria
Description: partial 16S ribosomal RNA
Rfam family: Bacterial small subunit ribosomal RNA
Source: RNAcentral
AUACGGAGGAUGCGAGCGUUAUCCGGAUUUAUUGGGUUUAAAGGGAGCGUAGGCGGACUAUUAAGUCAGCUGUGAAAGUUUGCGGCUCAACCGUAAAAUUGCAGUUGAUACUGGUCGUCUUGAGUGCAGUAGAGGUAGGCGGAAUUCGUGGGGUAGCGGUGAAAUGCUUAGAUAUCACGAAGAACUCCGAUUGCGAAGGCAGCUUACUGGACUGUAACUGACGCUGAUGCUCGAAAGUGUGGGUAUCAAACAGGAUUAGAUACCCUGGUAGUCCACACAGUAAACGAUGAAUACUCGCUGUUUGCGAUAUACGGCAAGCGGCCAAGCGAAAGCAUUAAGUAUUCCACCUGGGGAGUACGCCGGAAACGGUGAAACUAAAAUGAAUUGACGGG